UAUGUGCUUGCACAUUUUGAACGUCGACCGGCGCACGGGUGAGUAUCGCGUAUCCAACCUUCCCUCCACUCGGGGAUACCCCGUUGAAAGACGGCCUAAUACCCGAUGUUGUCCACAUAUGGCAUCUGACGUGGACCAAAGAUUCAUCGGUGGAGGAUGGGGAUGCGUCUGAUUAGCUUGUUGGUGCGGGUAACGGCCCACCAAGGCGACGAUCAGUAGGGGUUCUGAGAGGAAGGUCCCCCACAUUGGAACUGAGACACGGUCCAAACUCCUACGGGAGGCAGCAGUGAGGAAUAUUGGUCAAUGGACGUAAGUCUGAACCAGCCAAGUAGCGUGCAGGAUUGACGGCCCUAUGGGUUGUAAACUGCUUUUGUUGGGGAGUAAAGUGAGGCACGUGUGCCUUUUUGCAUUUACCCUUCGAAUAAGGACCGGCUAAUUCCGUGCCAGCAGCCGCGGUAAUACGGAAGGUCCAGGCGUUAUCCGGAUUUAUUGGGUUUAAAGGGAGUGUAGGCGGUCUGUUAAGCGUGUUGUGAAAUUUAGGUGCUCAACAUCUACCUUGCAGCGCGAACUGGCGGACUUGAGUGCACGCAACGUAUGCGGAAUUCAUGGUGUAGCGGUGAAAUGCUUAGAUAUCAUGACG
This 640-nucleotide ribosomal RNA is filed under the name uncultured Bacteroidales bacterium. RNAcentral describes it as "bacterial SSU rRNA". It matches the Rfam family "Bacterial small subunit ribosomal RNA", at positions 73 to 704 of the family's 1533-position model. Lineage: Bacteria; Pseudomonadati; Bacteroidota; Bacteroidia; Bacteroidales. The record is from RNAcentral.